GACGAACGCUGGCGGCGCGCCUAACACAUGCAAGUCGAACGAGCGAGAGAGAGCUUGCUUUCUCGAGCGAGUGGCGAACGGGUGAGUAACGCGUGAGGAACCUGCCUCAAAGAGGGGGACAACAUUUGGAAACGACUGCUAAUACCGCAUAAGCCCACGGCUCGGCAUCGAGCAGGGGGAAAAGGAGCAAUCCGCUUUGAGAUGGCCUCGCUUCCGAUUAUCUAGUUGGUGAGGUAACGGCCCACCAAGGCGACGAUCGGUAGCCGGACUGAGAAGUUGAACGGCCACAUUGGGACUGAGCCACGGCCCAGACUCCUACGGGAGGCAGCAGUGGGGAAUAUUGCACAAUGGGGGAAACCCUGAUGCAGCGACGCCGCGUGGAGGAAGAAGGUCUUCGGAUUGUAAACUCCUGUUGUUGGGGAAGAUAAUGACGGUACCCAACAAGGAAGUGACGGCUAACUACGUG
Molecule: ribosomal RNA, 466 nt
Filed under: uncultured bacterium
Lineage: Bacteria
Description: partial 16S ribosomal RNA
Rfam family: Bacterial small subunit ribosomal RNA
Source: RNAcentral